GCCCUAAACAAGUGUAAUUUGACAAAUUUACAUGUAAACAUUAAGGAGUGAGGAAGUUAAAACGAUACCAAUCGAGUUUUAGAGCUUUGGUGACCAUUUUAAAAGUAUAUAUGAUAAAUUCAAAGGUAAGUCUAUCGUAUUGCAUUGUCUUAAAUGAAUUCUCAGCUAAAAUACGGCAAUAAAUGGAUCAUAAACUUAGCUAAAUUUACUGUUGACAACGAGGUUGACAGAUCCAUUGCUUUUUUGCCUUGAAUAGCUUUACCAUAGUCAUUUUACCUUAAAAUGUAGCUACCGAGGAUAUCUCUAAGAGAUUUUACACAGAUUAUUUGCAAAAUCUCACGAUUUAAUCAUGCUGAUAACAUGAAAAUCCUUGUGCCAUUCUAUACUUGGCAUAAUCUCUACAUCAAUAGUUCACCAGUUCACUAAUAUAAAUUCAAUAUAUUUUUGAACCAGUCCAUAUAUUAUUAUACACAAUGUAGUAUAGUUAAUUUGACCAUAUUUGAGAAGUAAGGGUGUAUUUCAUUACACAGACACUGCUGAAUUUUAGGUUACAUGCCAUUGGAUUGAUAUAUAAAAAACACUUGUAAAACACACACAUUAUCUUGUUGAUAGAAUAGUUAUUUGCAGUAUACUAACUGUUGGCAUACUCUAUUUCAGGGCUAUCAAUUGUUUUUGUCACUGGCAGUCUUUGAAAUACAAUCUUGCUCUGUGGCCUUUACUGACAAGUUGGCUUUUACUACAUAUGUGGCACUGACACUUCUUUAAUUAAUGCACCAGUCAAUGUAAACCCCCCAACCAGGGAGGGGCAGGGAUUUUGACUUGGAGGGGUAGUAAAAAAGCAAAAUUGUCCCCGCCCCCAGGGACGUCAAUGUCCCCUGCAUGUCUCUUAACCCCAGGAAAAUAGUUUUGUAUAAUCAUAGAAUAGAAUAGAUCAGCAAUAGAAAAUCAAAUUCAUUUAUGUUGUUGUAUUUAAACUUUUCUUGUCAAGAAAACUAAAACAGCAACACAGGAUAUAUAUGUUAACCACUGUCCAAGUCUCCCAUCAUCGGGGACAAAUUUAUAAUCAAAACUGACCACUUUCCCUGUUAAACCUUCCGCCCCUCCCCGGUUGGGGGCAGGGAUUUACAUUGACUGGUGCAUAACUAGAUGAUUGCAUGAAGCAUUGCAUGGAAGUUGAUUUAUAAUUAGUUUAUGAAUAAACUCACACUUUCAUUAUAAUGGUUGAUCAAAUAUAUCAUAUGCAUUUGAUUGGUUGAUGGUCCCUUAAUGGUAAUGGUGGUCAAAUCUGAACCUAUAUAAUGUCAAUAUGAUUUGAACCUAUAUAAUGUCAAUAUACUGGAAAAGUAUCAAAUUAAAUUUUAAUUGUCAAUGUUGU
Molecule: long non-coding RNA, 1375 nt
Filed under: Paramuricea clavata
Lineage: Eukaryota; Metazoa; Cnidaria; Anthozoa; Malacalcyonacea; Plexauridae
Source: RNAcentral